Molecule: ribosomal RNA, 754 nt
Filed under: uncultured bacterium
Lineage: Bacteria
Description: bacterial SSU rRNA
Rfam family: Bacterial small subunit ribosomal RNA
Source: RNAcentral
AGAGUUUGAUCAUGGCUCAGGAUGAACGCUGGCGGCGUGCCUAGCACAUGCAAGUCGUGCGGUAAGGCCCCUUCGGGGGUACACGAGCGGCGGACGGCUGAGUAACGCGUGGGAACGUGCCCCAAAGUGAGGGAUAAGCCAAGGAAACUUGGUCUAAUACCGCAUAUGCUCUUAGGAGUAAAGCUUCGGCGCUUUGGGAGCGGCCCGCGUCCGAUUAGAUAGUUGGUGAGGUAAAGGCUCACCAAGUCGACGAUCGGUAGCUGGUCUGAGAGGAUGAUCAGCCAGACUGGGACUGAGACACGGCCCAGACUCCUACGGGAGGCAGCAGUGAGGAAUCUUCCACAAUGGGGGCAACCCUGAUGGAGCAACGCCGCGUGCAGGAUGAAGGCCCUCGGGUCGUAAACUGCUUUUAUAAGUGAAGAAUAUGACGGUAACUUAUGAAUAAGGAUCGGCUAACUACGUGCCAGCAGCCGCGGUCAUACGUAGGAUCCGAGCGUUAUCCGGAGUGACUGGGCGUAAAGAGUUGCGUAGGCGGUCGGUAAAGCGAAUAGUGAAACCUGGUGGCUCAACCAUACAGACUAUUAUUCGAACUCACCGACUCGAGAGUAGCAGAGGUAACUGGAAUUUCUAGUGUAGGAGUGAAAUCCGUAGAUAUUAGAAGGAACACCAAUGGCGUAGGCAGGUUACUGGGCUAUUUCUGACGCUAAGGCACGAAAGCGUGGGGAGCGAACCGGAUUAGAUACCCUAGUAGUCC